RNAcentral lists this ribosomal RNA (246 nucleotides) under uncultured bacterium. Its description in RNAcentral is "partial 16S ribosomal RNA". It matches the Rfam family "Bacterial small subunit ribosomal RNA", at positions 89 to 334 of the family's 1533-position model. The record is from RNAcentral.
UGGCGGCCGGCGCACGGGUGAGUAACGCGUAUGCAACUUACCUAUCAGAGGGGGAUAGCCCGGCGAAAGUCGGAUUAAUACCCCAUGAAACAGGGGUCCCGCAUGGGAAUAUUUGUUAAAGAUUCAUCGCUGAUAGAUAGGCAUGCGUUCCAUUAGGCAGUUGGCGGGGUAACGGCCCACCAAACCGACGAUGGAUAGGGGUUCUGAGAGGAAGGUCCCCCACAUUGGUACUGAGACACGGACCAA